Molecule: ribosomal RNA, 945 nt
Filed under: Bacillus sp. (in: firmicutes)
Lineage: Bacteria; Bacillati; Bacillota; Bacilli; Caryophanales; Bacillaceae
Description: bacterial SSU rRNA
Rfam family: Bacterial small subunit ribosomal RNA
Source: RNAcentral
GUCUCGGCAUUAUUGGGCGUAAGGGCUCGCAGGCGGUUUCUUAAGUCUGAUGUGAAAGCCCCCGGCUCAACCGGGGAGGGUCAUUGGAAACUGGGAAACUUGAGUGCAAAAAAGGAAAGUGGAAUUCCACGUGUAGCGGUGAAAUGCGUAAAGAUGUGGAGGAACACCAGUGGCGAAGGCGACUCUCUGGUCUGUAACUGACGCUGAGGAGCGAAAGCGUGGGGAGCGAACAGGAUUAAAUACCCUGGUAGUCCACGCCGUAAACGAUGAGUGCUAAGUGUUAGGGGGUUUCCGCCCCUUAGUGCUGCAGCUAACGCAUUAAGCACUCCGCCUGGGGAGUACGGUCGCAAGACUGAAACUCAAAGGAAUUGACGGGGGCCCGCACAAGCGGUGGAGCAUGUGGUUUAAUUCGAAGCAACGCGAAAAACCUUACCAGGUCUUGACAUCCUCUGACAACCCUAGAGAUAGGGCUUUCCCUUCGGGGACAGAGUGACAGGUGGUGCAUGGUUGUCGUCAGCUCGUGUCGUGAGAUGUUGGGUUAAGUCCCGCAACGAGCGCAACCCUUGAUCUUAGUUGCCAGCAUUCAGUUGGGCACUCUAAGGUGACUGCCGGUGACAAACCGGAGGAAGGUGGGGAUGACGUCAAAUCAUCAUGCCCCUUAUGACCUGGGCUACACACGUGCUACAAUGGACAGAACAAAGGGCUGCAAGACCGCAAGGUUUAGCCAAUCCCAUAAAUCUGUUCUCAGUUCGGAUCGCAGUCUGCAACUCGACUGCGUGAAGCUGGAAUCGCUAGUAAUCGCGGAUCACAUGCCGCGGGGGAAAUACGUUCCCGGGCCUUGUACACACCGCCCGUCACACCACGAGAGUUUGCAACACCCGAAGUCGGUGAGGUAACCUUUAUGGAGCCAGCCGCCGAAGGUGGGGCAAAUGAUUGGGGUGAGUC